AUUGAACGCUGGCGGCAGGCCUAACACAUGCAAGUCGAACGGUAGAAGGGAGAAUGCUCCUUGAUUGAGCAGCGGACGGGUGAGUGAUGCCUAGGAAUGUGCAUGGGAGUGGGGGAUAACGUUCAGUAAUGGGAGCUAAUACCGAAUACGCCUAGCGGGAGAAAACCGAGGAUGUUGAGAUUUGACGCUAUCACCAUCGCCUAGGUCGGAUUAGGUAGAUGGUGGGGUAAAGGCAAACCCAGGCGACGAUCCGUAACUGGUCUGAGAGGAUGAUCAGUCACACUGGAACUGAGACACGGUCCAGACUCCUACGGGAGGCAGCAGUGGGGAAUAUUGGACAAUGGGCGAAAGCCUGAUCCAGCCAUGCCGCGUGUAUGAAGAAGGUCUUCGGAUUGUAAAGCACUUUAAGUUGGGAGGAAGGGAGGUAAGUUAAUACCUUGCCGCAUUGACGUUACCAGCAGAAGAAGCACCGGCUAACUCCGUG
Molecule: ribosomal RNA, 484 nt
Filed under: uncultured bacterium
Lineage: Bacteria
Description: partial 16S ribosomal RNA
Rfam family: Bacterial small subunit ribosomal RNA
Source: RNAcentral